CGCCUCCUCUGCCGAGGGUCCGGCUUCAAUUUUGGGAGCUACUCCAUGUACUGGAUGCGCCAGAGACCCGGGCAGGGGCUGGAAUACGUGGCAGGGAUCUACAGCACUGGUGGCACCACCAACUACGCGCCCUCAGUCAAGGGCCGGUUCAGGAUCUCCAGGGACAACGGGCAGAGCUCGGUGACGCUGACCAUGAACAGCCUCAAGGACGAGGAUUCCGGAUCCUAUUUCUGCGCCAAAGAGGCUGGUGCUGGUAGUUGGAUUGCUGCUGCUGAUGGUGAAGAUGCUCCUGGUGGAUCCCUGGCCCCAUCUCAGUGUCCCCGCCUGUCCCCAGAGCCUGGAUCGUUCCCCCAAACCUCAGCCCUUGACCCUUUGUCUCAAGUCUCCCCAAUUUUCACCAAUGCUGAGCUCUGA
Passer montanus (Eurasian tree sparrow) is the source of this 414-nucleotide non-coding RNA. The record is from the annotation of a RefSeq genome assembly. Lineage: Eukaryota; Metazoa; Chordata; Aves; Passeriformes; Passeridae.